AUGCUCGCUUCGGCAGCAUUUACACUAAAAUUGGAAUGCUACAGAGAAGAUUAGCAUGGCCCCUGAGCAAGGAUGACACGCAAAUUCAUGAAGCUUCCAUAUUUUUU
This is a small nuclear RNA of Suncus etruscus (white-toothed pygmy shrew), 107 nucleotides long. NCBI's taxonomy places the organism in Eukaryota, Metazoa, Chordata, Mammalia, Eulipotyphla, Soricidae. The record is from RefSeq and is a predicted model, not a curated record.